GUUUGACCUCGGAUCAGGUAGGGAUACCCGCUGAACUUAAGCAUAUCAAUAAGCGGAGGAAAAGAAACCAACAGGGAUUGCCUCAGUAACGGCGAGUGGAA
RNAcentral lists this ribosomal RNA (101 nucleotides) under Lobaria sp. Hur 040135. Its description in RNAcentral is "partial 28S ribosomal RNA". It matches the Rfam family "Eukaryotic large subunit ribosomal RNA", at positions 1 to 98 of the family's 3401-position model. The record is from RNAcentral. Lineage: Eukaryota; Fungi; Ascomycota; Lecanoromycetes; Peltigerales; Lobariaceae.